RNAcentral lists this non-coding RNA (29 nucleotides) under Rattus norvegicus (Norway rat). Lineage: Eukaryota; Metazoa; Chordata; Mammalia; Rodentia; Muridae. The record is from RNAcentral.
UAGAGACUUGUCUUUUCUAAACACAUUCA